RNAcentral lists this ribosomal RNA (1411 nucleotides) under Bifidobacterium bifidum. RNAcentral describes it as "16S ribosomal RNA". It matches the Rfam family "Bacterial small subunit ribosomal RNA". Lineage: Bacteria; Bacillati; Actinomycetota; Actinomycetes; Bifidobacteriales; Bifidobacteriaceae. The record is from RNAcentral.
AGUCGAACGGGAUCCAUCGGGCUUUGCUUGGUGGUGAGAGUGGCGAACGGGUGAGUAAUGCGUGACCGACCUGCCCCAUGCUCCGGAAUAGCUCCUGGAAACGGGUGGUAAUGCCGGAUGUUCCACAUGAUCGCAUGUGAUUGUGGGAAAGAUUCUAUCGGCGUGGGAUGGGGUCGCGUCCUAUCAGCUUGUUGGUGAGGUAACGGCUCACCAAGGCUUCGACGGGUAGCCGGCCUGAGAGGGCGACCGGCCACAUUGGGACUGAGAUACGGCCCAGACUCCUACGGGAGGCAGCAGUGGGGAAUAUUGCACAAUGGGCGCAAGCCUGAUGCAGCGACGCCGCGUGAGGGAUGGAGGCCUUCGGGUUGUAAACCUCUUUUGUUUGGGAGCAAGCCUUCGGGUGAGUGUACCUUUCGAAUAAGCGCCGGCUAACUACGUGCCAGCAGCCGCGGUAAUACGUAGGGCGCAAGCGUUAUCCGGAUUUAUUGGGCGUAAAGGGCUCGUAGGCGGCUCGUCGCGUCCGGUGUGAAAGUCCAUCGCUUAACGGUGGAUCUGCGCCGGGUACGGGCGGGCUGGAGUGCGGUAGGGGAGACUGGAAUUCCCGGUGUAACGGUGGAAUGUGUAGAUAUCGGGAAGAACACCGAUGGCGAAGGCAGGUCUCUGGGCCGUCACUGACGCUGAGGAGCGAAAGCGUGGGGAGCGAACAGGAUUAGAUACCCUGGUAGUCCACGCCGUAAACGGUGGACGCUGGAUGUGGGGCACGUUCCACGUGUUCCGUGUCGGAGCUAACGCGUUAAGCGUCCCGCCUGGGGAGUACGGCCGCAAGGCUAAAACUCAAAGAAAUUGACGGGGGCCCGCACAAGCGGCGGAGCAUGCGGAUUAAUUCGAUGCAACGCGAAGAACCUUACCUGGGCUUGACAUGUUCCCGACGACGCCAGAGAUGGCGUUUCCCUUCGGGGCGGGUUCACAGGUGGUGCAUGGUCCGUCGUCAGCUCGUGUCGUGAGAUGUUGGGUUAAGUCCCGCAACGAGCGCAACCCUCGCCCCGUGUUGCCAGCACGUUAUGGUGGGAACUCACGGGGGACCGCCGGGGUUAACUCGGAGGAAGGUGGGGAUGACGUCAGAUCAUCAUGCCCCUUACGUCCAGGGCUUCACGCAUGCUACAAUGGCCGGUACAGCGGGAUGCGACAUGGCGACAUGGAGCGGAUCCCUGAAAACCGGUCUCAGUUCGGAUCGGAGCCUGCAACCCGGCUCCGUGAAGGCGGAGUCGCUAGUAAUCGCGGAUCAGCAACGCCGCGGUGAAUGCGUUCCCGGGCCUUGUACACACCGCCCGUCAAGUCAUGAAAGUGGGCAGCACCCGAAGCCGGUGGCCUAACCCCUUGUGGGAUGGAGCCGUCUAAGGUGAGGCUCGUG